Long non-coding RNA from Cebus imitator (Panamanian white-faced capuchin), 1657 nucleotides. RefSeq lists it as uncharacterized. The record is from RefSeq and is a predicted model, not a curated record. Lineage: Eukaryota; Metazoa; Chordata; Mammalia; Primates; Cebidae. The transcript has 3 exons.
UGGAAGGAUUGCUUGAGCCUGGGAGGUCGAGGCUGCAGUGAGCCAUGGUCACAUCACUGCACUCCAGCCCAGGUGACCCUGUCUCAAAAACAUAUAUAAGUAAAUAAUGAGAUGUAGUGACUUCAAAAGGAACGUUCAUCAAAGUUGCUUAAAGGAGAGUUGGAAGCCAUAUAAUGUCCAACAAUAAAGGACUGCCUAAAAAUUAUGAAUCAGCUAUGCGAGGGAAUAUUGUAUAGUCAUAAAAAUUAUACUUUUGAAGAACAUGCAACUUAAUGGGAAAGUGUGCAUUGUCUACUUCAGAAAGCAAAGAUGAAAUUUUAUAUAGAAUUAUCUCAGAUAUACAUGAAUGUGUGUAUAUACGCAUACACAUAAAUAUAAUAGUGUGUCUAUAAGAGAGACAGGAAAUACUGCUUUUCUGUUUGUGAUGAAAUGCAAAUUCCUUAUGUAUUUUCCUAAAAUGUUUAAAAUGAGACUUUUGUAAUCAGAAGUACAUAAGCCCUCUUCCCCCAAAGAAAAUGAUUAUUCUACUGCCUAUCUUGGCUGUAUUCUUACUUGGGGGUAGGGUGGGUGGAGUGAACAGGGAGGGCUAAUCUCUCCUCCUCCUUUCUGACUCAUUCCACAGCCAAUUCUCUUUCUUAUUAUUCUCCAAAGGCAUGAGGACCUUCCACAUUCCAAAGUAUUUCAUUUCCGAAGUAUUUUAUUGUCGAGGGUAUUUCUUCUGGACUAUUUUCCACUUCCCUCCAUCUGCCCAGCCAGGUAUUCUGCAUCUGUAAAAGCUGGUUUCUGAUGUCAUCUCUAGGCAGGACCACUCCGUCUCUCUCCUGCACUCCUAUACUUCAUGGCAAAUCCGCCCCACGAUAGCACUUGUCACUCUGUUUUCCAAAUUCAGUUCCAUUCAUUUUCUUCACAUUGCACUGAGCCCACUGAUUUCUUUCCCUCUCUGUUGCCAGCACUGGAGACCAAGCCUGCACCAUCAAUCAUCUUUUAACACAGAAUCAGGGAGAGUGGAGAGUGUGGAGUGGUGUGGCCAGUCUUUGCCUCUUGCUGUUCAGUGAACUUCAUGCCUGUCCUCCUGAUCCCCAGCGCUAGCGCAGGGUCAGGCUCAUGGAAGUGAACAACAACCAUUGAUCUCUGGAGGAUUGGUGGAAGUCCUUUCAUUUACUUGACAGUUUACCUGUCAAUUUUACAUGCGUGGUCAUUUCUAAUCCUCUACACUUUCAGGUCUGACCAUGAGCAGUGGGGAUGAAGGAACUGUGAAAUCACCCACAGCUGUGCAUGUCAUCUGUUAGCCUGCUCAUUUCCUCACGCAUCUACACCCUGAGCCCCUAAGUGUCUUGCACUGUUCAAAGUUCUGGCCUCUCUUGCUCAGCGCUUCCUUAUGAAGUCCAUCACACUGCUGAUGCCAACAGAAGCAAAAGAAUCAGGGACACAGAUGAAGCAAAAACGUGAAUGAGAGGGAUGGAAAAAGGGUAGAGCUUCUUCCAUAUGGAAGCAAUAUCAGGAGCUGAGAAGCAGAGUUCAGCAUCACCACUGUCUUCCUCCAGGUGAGAUAGAAUUACAUCUUUCUCAAUGAUUCUCAAGACCAGGGCCAUGAGAAUGAUCCCUCCAGCUAGGGCUCUGCUCUGUUUCCCUUUACAGCAAAAUUCCUCAAAGGGUU